This 356-nucleotide ribosomal RNA is filed under the name Escherichia coli. Its description in RNAcentral is "bacterial SSU rRNA". It matches the Rfam family "Bacterial small subunit ribosomal RNA", at positions 292 to 640 of the family's 1533-position model. Lineage: Bacteria; Pseudomonadati; Pseudomonadota; Gammaproteobacteria; Enterobacterales; Enterobacteriaceae. RNAcentral also lists the same sequence under 1 other name. The record is from RNAcentral.
CUGAGAGGAUGACCAGCCACACUGGAACUGAGACACGGUCCAGACUCCUACGGGAGGCAGCAGUGGGGAAUAUUGCACAAUGGGCGCAAGCCUGAUGCAGCCAUGCCGCGUGUAUGAAGAAGGCCUUCGGGUUGUAAAGUACUUUCAGCGGGGAGGAAGGGAGUAAAGUUAAUACCUUUGCUCAUUGACGUUACCCGCAGAAGAAGCACCGGCUAACUCCGUGCCAGCAGCCGCGGUAAUACGGAGGGUGCAAGCGUUAAUCGGAAUUACUGGGCGUAAAGCGCACGCAGGCGGUUUGUUAAGUCAGAUGUGAAAUCCCCGGGCUCAACCUGGGAACUGCAUCUGAUACUGGCAAG